UUCAUCACAUGUGACCUCACUU
This 22-nucleotide microRNA is filed under the name Ornithorhynchus anatinus (platypus). RNAcentral's name for it is "Oan-Mir-1421-P18_3p* (star (passenger))". Lineage: Eukaryota; Metazoa; Chordata; Mammalia; Monotremata; Ornithorhynchidae. The record is from RNAcentral.